UUAUCGCCUCGAGACAAAGCAAUUGUUUGUGAGAAAGUUAAACUCAAAUGAUAAGAGACUGUGGUAAAUACUGAUAAUAUUUA
RNAcentral lists this non-coding RNA (83 nucleotides) under bovine gut metagenome. RNAcentral's name for it is "PGK RNA". It matches the Rfam family "PGK RNA". From Rfam's summary of the family: mammalian gut metagenomes. Environment (Cow rumen (57)) The record is from RNAcentral.